GACGAACGCUGGCGGCGUGCUUAACACAUGCAAGUCGAACGGUACGGCCCUUCGGGGUACACGAGUGUCGAACGGGUGAGUAACACGUGGGUGAUCUACACUGCACUUCGGGAUAAGCCUGUGAAACUGGGUCUAAUACCGGAGAGGACGACUGCCUUCAUGCGUGGGCGUAGAGAGCCUUUGCGGUGUGGGAUGGGCACGCGGCCGAUCAGCGUGUGGGGGGGGUGGUGGCCUACCGAGGCGACGACGGGUAGUCGGCGUGACGAGGGUGAGCUGACACACUGGGACGGGGAUAAGGCCCAGACCACUACGGGAGGCAGGAGUGGGGAAUAUUGCACAAUGGGAGCAAGCAUGAUGCAGCGACGCCGCGUGAGGGAUGACGGGCUUCGGGUUGGAAACCUCUUUCAGCACCGACGAAGCGCAAGUGACGGUAGGUGCAGAAGAAGGACCGGCCAACUACGUGCCAGCCGCCGCCGUAA
Molecule: ribosomal RNA, 479 nt
Filed under: uncultured bacterium
Lineage: Bacteria
Description: partial 16S ribosomal RNA
Rfam family: Bacterial small subunit ribosomal RNA
Source: RNAcentral